RNAcentral lists this long non-coding RNA (3465 nucleotides) under Sus scrofa (pig). RNAcentral's name for it is "lncRNA (ENSSSCG00000055061.1)". The record is from RNAcentral. Lineage: Eukaryota; Metazoa; Chordata; Mammalia; Artiodactyla; Suidae.
CUAUUACUAUCCAUUAUACUGGCUAAACUGAUAAUAUGUUGGCUGUUACAUCAAGAACUGCAGCUCUUUUAUAUGAGAAGUCUGUAUACAUAUAACCAGUGUGCAUAUGAACAACUCAACAAACUUCAUGACCCUGCAGUUUAAACUAUGCAAUUGUAUGCAUGCAUGUAGACAUACAGAGAUACACUGCGAUACAUGAAAGGGGAAGGGAAAAGUAGCACAGAAAAGAGAUAAUCCAGUUUGUUUCUACUAAGAUCCAGUCAAGCUUACAAUUUACAGUGUGAGUGCUCCAUUCAGGAACAAGGAAGGCUUCAUAAUAUGGACACAUGCGAUCUUAACUCUUGAAAGAUGUUUACAUGAUCCUUCUGCUUCGGAAAUAAGGAGACAAUUACCAAGGUUAUUAGAACAUUCUCACAAUAGAAAAAAGAUCACUAUUUCUAAGAUGUCUUUGUUGCCUAAAGAUAAAACACAAAAUACAAGGACUGUCAUUCUAAAGUUUUAUAAAAAGGAACGGUUAGCUCUGGGCCCAAUGCCACGUUCAUUCAGAAGCUGGCCUGCAUCUCUCCAACCCUCACCAUCCACUUAAAAAACCUCAGCCACAAAACCCUGCCCGUUUACUGGUUGUUCCCCUAAAGCAGUGGGCAUAUAACCACCUCCUCACCUGAACCCACACCAUGGCCUCUAUCUGAUGACCUCUCUCACUCGUCUUACUUGUUAUCAUCUUCCAGACCCACUCAGCCCCUUCCUUUUCCUGGAACCCUCUUCACUGGCUCAAGCCCCAGGGAACUCUCCUCUCCUCCAAAUGCCUACAAACCUUAUUUUCUUUUUUGUUUUUGUCUUUUGUCUUUUUAGGGCCACACCCACGGCAUAUGGAACUUCCCAGGCUAGGGGUCAAAUCAGAGCUACAGCUGCUGGCCUACACCAUGGCCACCAGAUCCGCUCCACAUCUGUGACCUACACCACAGCUCACGGCAAUGCCGGAUCCUCAACCCACUAAGCGAGGCCAGGGAUUGAACACACAACCUCAUGGUUCCUAGUUGGAUUGUUUUCCACUGUGCCACAACGGGAACUCCAGACCUUAUUUUCUAUAAGUCCAUCUGAGGCAGAGAUGGUAUUUCAAAGGCCUUAUAUCCCCCCAGGACCUAAGAGAUUCUGAAUAAAUGGUUGUUAAUAUAUAAUGGUGUAUCAGUUAUAGAACAGCUACAAAGGAGAAAGGAGAACUUUCCUUUUGGCUGCUUACACAGCGAGAACAAACAAAUAUAAUCUUUCAAACCAGUUAGCAAGCAGAACCCAACUGGCAGAAGUGUGUCUUUGCUAUUAAUGACAUGUUCCAACAAUAAAGAAUGCCACUACUAAAAAAGCAAGUCUAAUACUUUCCUAAAGGGAAGUACAGUUUACAAAAGAGUGUCAUCACAUACACUCCCAAUUCCCCAAAUACUAACUGAGAAAGAGAACAGAGGGACAAAGUAAUUCUAUCUUCCCUCAAGUAAUGGAGACAUAGGUACAUAUUUCACAAUCUUGCAAGUACUAAUUCCUCCUUAAAUAAAAACAUUGUGUAAACAGAGUUCCCCAUGUAGCUCAGCUGAAAGGAACCUGACUAUCAGCAUCCAUGAGGAUGCAGGUUGGAUCCCUAGCCUCAAUCAGUGGGUUAAGGAUCCGGUGUUACCAUGAGCUGUGGUGGAGGUCACAGACAUGGCUCGGAUCCUGUGUUGCUGUGGCGUAAGCUGGCAGAUACCGCUCUGAUUUGACCCCUAGCCUGGGAACCUGCAAACACCUCCAGUGCAGCCCUAAAAAGACAAAAAAAAAAAAAAAAAAAAAAAAAAACAGAAAAGAAAGAAACAUUAUGUACAUGGAUUAGCCACGAACCUUUCACCUACAAGGGCUCCUAAACAUAAAAUGUAGCAACCGAGCAGUUCUUUAAGGCAACUUGUAACUGCUGGAACCAUCCUAAAUAUCCCUAUUUUAUAUGGUUUAAAAUCAAGGUAUAUGACAUUUGCAUUAGAUCAAGGCUCUGUCAAAGAGUCAUUAUCAUACACACUAUCACACACAUGUACAGACACAGAGUCACUUGUAUCCUUUGAUUAGUGCUAAUAUGAGAUGUGAACAAAAGCUACUGCUGUUCUCAAAAAAGCUAUGGGAUAAAUCAGCUAUCCUGCUAUGCAAUUACAUUUAUUGUAAUUGCUCAUGACAAAGACAGAGACUUCUUAAAUAUUCCAAGUAUAAACAACCAAAUGAAUUAGCACUCUUUUAACUAGCAGGUAACAGGAAGAGCACUUGAAGCAGCAGAGGAAAAGCAAGAUCAACUUACUGACUUCAAGUAAGUCAGCAACAGGAAAGCCAUACAGGGGGAUGGGCUUUAGGGCCAACUCAGAAUGAACUCCACCAGGACAAGCUGACACCUUUGCUUCUAAAGGUUGGCUUUGUUCUCCCUUCCUAAAAUCUGCCUUCUGCCACUUAACUCCCAGCUCUGCCAGUAAGAGGGACUAUUUCAUGGUUAUGAUUUUACGAAUUUUGAAGAAAAACCACACACUGGUUCAGCUUGAGGUCAUGUACCCACCUCAGUCACCAAAGUCAUGUGAGUGGCCAGUCUAUACUAGAACUACAUAGUUGAACUGGCAGGAAGAGCAGUCAGUUCUCCAGAAGGUGAGUUUACUUCCCAGAAGUGGAAAGGAGUGCUUAUUUGCCUGUCCAAAAAUAAACAUGACCACCUAUCAAGGAACUCCAUUUCAAGUUGAAUGCAAAAGCUUAUCUAAAAAGUACUCAACCUGGUAAUAAAUUACAUUCUAAAAAUUGUUUAAUGAACCCUAAAGUUAAUGAUCUUUUAUGUGGCACCUGAAAUGCAUUUCACUAGAGACAAUAUUUUGAAUACUAUACUCAAACUCCGUUCAGAACAUUGUUCCUAUAGGAAAAUGUAUUUGAAUCUCCACCUACAGCAAGAAAAACAUGCUCAAUUUAAUUCAUUUACUGAGUAGUAAAGACAGUGGCUUCCACCUGCACACAGUUGUUUUACAUUUAAUCGCUGACACAGCAAGGCAGGUAUUAACAACUGCCACUGAGAGGAAAACUGGGAGGUGAAGAAGGUUCUGAGGCCUAAGGUCAAUAAUGACUACUAGUCAGAGGCUGCUUCAAAGCCAUGUACAUUUGACUCCAGAGCUGAGAUAAUUCCAGCUGAUAGCCGAAGCAGCCAAACAAGAAUGGGCUUUCAGUUCAGGCGACUGAGAGCUAAUGUUUCUGACUUGCAGAAAAGUAAAGGAACUAGGAACAGGCAGGCACAGUUAACAGCCAGACCUUAACUUUCUAUAUCUUCCCAAGGGAAGGUAUUUCCCUGUGGCAGAACAAAAAGAAAAUAUUUCUCUGGAUAAACUUUAUAAAUAUAAAAUACAAAUAUAUAAAUUAUAAAUCAUACUGAUGCUUGUACUGACAUGAAGAUGGUCUGAAAAUUAAAGGUCUAUGAACAGUAUCUUU